This 200-nucleotide ribosomal RNA is filed under the name uncultured bacterium. RNAcentral's name for it is "partial 16S ribosomal RNA". It matches the Rfam family "Bacterial small subunit ribosomal RNA", at positions 29 to 252 of the family's 1533-position model. The record is from RNAcentral.
AACGAGCGCUGGUGGUAUGCUUAAUACAUGCAAGUCGAACGGGUGUAGCAAUACAUCAGUGGCAAACGGGUGAGGAAUAUAUAGGAACCUCCCUAGCAGUAAGGAAUAACUUUGGGAAACCAAAGCUAAUGCCAUAUAUUACCCUUCGGGGGGAAAGAUUUAUCGCUGUUAGAUGGGCCUGUAUCAGAUUAGCUAGUUGG